This 253-nucleotide ribosomal RNA is filed under the name uncultured bacterium. RNAcentral's name for it is "partial 16S ribosomal RNA". It matches the Rfam family "Bacterial small subunit ribosomal RNA", at positions 524 to 776 of the family's 1533-position model. The record is from RNAcentral.
UACGUAGGGGACAAGCGUUGUCCGGAAUCAUUGGGCGUAAAGAGCGUGUAGGCGGCCAAGCAGGUCCGCUGUGAAAACUCGAGGCUUAACCUCGAGACGUCGGUGGAAACCGUUUGGCUAGAGUCCGGAAGAGGAGAGUGGAAUUCCCGGUGUAGCGGUGAAAUGCGCAGAUAUCGGGAAGAACACCCGUGGCGAAGGCGGCUCUCUGGGACGGUACUGACGCUGAGACGCGAAAGCGUGGGGAGCGAACAGG